GACGAACGCUGGCGGCGUGCUUAACACAUGCAAGUCGAACGGAAAGGCCCUGCUUUUGUGGGGUGCUCGAGUGGCGAACGGGUGAGUAACACGUGAGUAACCUGCCCUUGACUUUGGGAUAACUUCAGGAAACUGGGGCUAAUACCGGAUAGGAGCUCCUGCUGCAUGGUGGGGGUUGGAAAGUUUCGGCGGUUGGGGAUGGACUCGCGGCUUAUCAGCUUGUUGGUGGGGUAGUGGCUUACCAAGGCUUUGACGGGUAGCCGGCCUGAGAGGGUGACCGGCCACAUUGGGACUGAGAUGCGACCCAGACUCCUACGGGAGGCAACAGUGGGGAAUAUUGAACAAUGGGCUGAACCCUAAUGCAGCAACGCCGCGUGCGGGAUGACGGCCUUCGGGUUGUAAACCGCUUUCGCCUGUGACGAAGCGUGAGUGACGGUAAUGGGUAAAGAAGCACCGGCUAACUACGUG
RNAcentral lists this ribosomal RNA (468 nucleotides) under uncultured bacterium. Its description in RNAcentral is "partial 16S ribosomal RNA". It matches the Rfam family "Bacterial small subunit ribosomal RNA", at positions 28 to 507 of the family's 1533-position model. The record is from RNAcentral.